GAUGUGGCAGAGCACAUAAAGAAGACGUUCGACAAAAAAUACUGCCCAAUUUGGCAUUGCAUUGUUGGCAAGAAUUUCGGUUCCUAUGUAACUCAUGAGACGCAUCACUUUGUCUACUUCUAUUGGACACUAAAGCUGUACUCCUCUUCAAAUCUGGCUGAUCCAUGCAAUGACUUGAAUUGAGAUGGACAUUGACGGUUGAUGAAAAAGUUAAGAUGAUUAUUUUGGGCUGAUCUGGCUGCGGCGGUUCGGGAGGACGACGGCGGUGGCUGCAGUUUUGCAUCGCUAUCCGAACAGCAGCGGCGCUUGCCGUGAACAACCGAGGCUGGAGAAGCCGAGCAACGGCAGCUCGGGAGAUGAACAGCAGCAGGACAGCGGCUGCUCGGCUGAACGGCGGUGACAACAGCAGAGAAUGGCGGAGCAGCAACGUCCGUGUUGCAGCGGCGGCUGACCCGGCAGCGACGACGCUGACAGAUCUUGGACAGCAGCGGCGCUGUGGAAGAGAUGAGGGAAAGAUAGGGGAGCGACGACAACGGCAGCGCAACGGAGAGAAGCUAGAGCGAAAGGCGACGGAGGCGGCAAGCUCACCGCCGUGAUUUCGGUGGUGACGGCGUGGUGACGUCGCCGGAAAAGAGAGAGUAAUGCAAGGUAGUCGCAAUUUGGGGAAUCCUCCUGAUUUUGAAUUGGGAGAGAUGAGAGGUUGAGAGAGAUAAUAAGAGAAAGAGAAUGAGAGAGAGAGUUAGAGUGUUUGGAGAAGAAGAAGAUGACUGUGAAAUUGGGGAAGGAAGAGAGAGAGGAGAUGAUGGAGACGGAGGCGCGGUGGAUUCGGCACAAGAACUGGGGCGACGCGAAGGAGAUAGAAACGGCAAGGCGCGACGUUUUGGAUCAGCGGCUAAGACGAGCAGCGACGGUGCUGUGAUGGAGAUGGUGAGGAGAAAGGCCAGGGCAGCGACGUGAAACACCUAGAGGACAGCGAAGUGACGAACUCGCUGCUGUGAUUACCACAGUUCUGAAAUCAGUGAAGAGAGAUUAUGAAUUUCACUCCCUUUUUGGGAUUUCACGAGGUGGAUUGGAAUUAAUUUGGUUUGGGCCAAAUUAAUUGAAUGGAAGAUUUGGGCCGGAGUCCAUUAAAUCAACGGGUGACUUUACGCACGCUUUUCAAGAUUGUGAUGGAACACAAGUUAAGGCUUUAAACGAACGAGGUUGAGCGGUAACAAGCGCGGUGGCUGUUGAGCAUG
This is a long non-coding RNA of Salvia splendens (bonfire salvia), 1238 nucleotides long. RefSeq lists it as uncharacterized. The transcript is spliced from 3 exons. The record is from RefSeq and is a predicted model, not a curated record. Lineage: Eukaryota; Viridiplantae; Streptophyta; Magnoliopsida; Lamiales; Lamiaceae.